RNAcentral lists this RNase P RNA (377 nucleotides) under Pseudogracilibacillus auburnensis. RNAcentral describes it as "Bacterial RNase P class B". It matches the Rfam family "Bacterial RNase P class B". From Rfam's summary of the family: Ribonuclease P (RNase P) is a ubiquitous endoribonuclease, found in archaea, bacteria and eukarya as well as chloroplasts and mitochondria. Its best characterised activity is the generation of mature 5'-ends of tRNAs by cleaving the 5'-leader elements of precursor-tRNAs. Lineage: Bacteria; Bacillati; Bacillota; Bacilli; Caryophanales; Bacillaceae. The record is from Rfam by way of RNAcentral.
AUGCUCAUGUAAUCGCUGCACAGUUUACUGUGUAGAGGAAAGUCCAUGCUCACACAAGCUGCGAUGCUUGUAGUGUUCAUGCUUGAUGAAAUAAUAAGUCAAGGUAACCGGAGUGGUUAACGGCAGGAGUUUAUUUCUACGUCUUUUUGAUAGGAAAUAAAGCCUUGAAAGUGCCACAGUGACGAAGAUGAAUGGAAACAUUCUGAAGUGGAACGGGUAAACCCCAUGAGUGAGCAACCCAAACUAUGGUAGGGGCAUCCUCUGAUUAGGAAAUGAACGAAAAGAGGGACAAGAAUCACUUGUAGAUAAAUGAUUACAACCCGAGUACGAGGCUGACCACCGUUUUAGUACAAAGGAACAGAACAUGGCUUAUCGAG